CCUACGGGAGGCAGCAGUGGGGAAUAUUGGACAAUGGGCGAAAGCCUGAUCCAGCAAUGCCGCGUGAGUGAAGAAGGCCUUCGGGUUGUAAAGCUCUUUUACCCGGGAAGAUAAUGACCGUACCGGGAGAAUAAGCCCCGGCUAACUCCGUGCCAGCAGCCGCGGUAAUACGGAGGGGGCUAGCGUUGUUCGGAAUCACUGGGCGUAAAGCGUGCGUAGGCGGCCAUUCAAGUCAGAGGUGAAAGCCCAGGGCUCAACCCUGGAACUGCCUUUGAAACUAGGUGGCUGGAACACGGGAGAGGUGAGUGGAAUUCCGAGUGUAGAGGUGAAAUUCGUAGAUAUUCGGAAGAACACCAGUGGCGAAGGCGGCUCACUGGACCGUUGUUGACGCUGAGGCACGAAAGCGUGGGGAGCAAACAGGAUUAGAUACCCUGGUAGUCCACGCCGUAAACGAUGAUAACUAGCUGUUGGGGCUCUUUGAGCUCCAGUGGCGCAGCUACGCAUUAAGUUAUCCGUCCGUCGGGUAGGUACGGCCGCCGAACGGUUAAAACGUUAAAACGGUAAAGUUAGUACGGCGUGAGAACGUGCCGAACGGACGACGACGAGGGGAGGUUAGG
This 617-nucleotide ribosomal RNA is filed under the name uncultured bacterium. RNAcentral describes it as "bacterial SSU rRNA". The stretch from base 1 to 517 matches the Rfam family "Bacterial small subunit ribosomal RNA", at positions 338 to 873 of the family's 1533-position model. The record is from RNAcentral.